Nicotiana attenuata is the source of this 1538-nucleotide long non-coding RNA. RefSeq lists it as uncharacterized. The record is from RefSeq and is a predicted model, not a curated record. Lineage: Eukaryota; Viridiplantae; Streptophyta; Magnoliopsida; Solanales; Solanaceae. The transcript is spliced from 2 exons.
UUUAGUUUGUAGGAUUUUAAUUAAAAGAAAAAGGAAAAAUUAACAAAAUAAAAGAAAGAAUUGGAAAAGAAAGGUUUGUCUUGUGAAAUUGGGCUAAAAUUAAUGCUGAGCCCAAAGCCUAUACCUAAAUCUGCCCAAACCCAAUAACCCACUCAAAACCCAAUCUCCCUACCCAAAUACCCAUUACCCUUUACCCUACCUCCUACAUGUAAAAACACAAUUUAGAAACCAAAAAAAGGACCUCACCCUUGAGAUCAGGGAAUCAGCGCAGCUUUUUUGGAAAAGAGACGUUCCCGUUUGUCUUCUUCUUCACAAAUCAACAACCAGAGAGACUCCCCCCUCACGUCUUCGUCUCCACCCCAAAACCAGUCAAAGCAGCCAUUAAACUUAACCCCAAACAGUCACCAAAAAUCGGUAAAUAGCUGUUUCCUUCAGCAGAAUUUAAAAGGAAUUCAUAAAGGUCGAGUCCAAAGUCUAUUGUGUCAUCGAGAUUCGAGUUUGUGCCCGUCGAUGUUUCGGACUUGUUGAAGUCUCAUUACUGUUGAAGUUGUCGAAUCUGCUGGGUUAUCUGGUUCGGAGAUGUGGAUUUGUGCUCUAGUUGCUAUUGCUGUUGAUCUUCCUUACAAAUGGAAGUCGGAGCUGUUUGCGGUUGUUUCUCCUGCAAUUAGUAGCUGAACACCCAUUUGAAGUUAUUUUCGGCCUUUAUUUGGCUAUUUUAAAGUCUUACUACUGCUGUCCAUAAAUUUUCAUAUAUAAAAAGCUGUUUUGGAGCCCUGGAAUUGCCGCUCGUUGUCCGUUGAUUUGCGUUGUCGUUACACUGUUUCUCGUUGUUGUUCUGUCGCUAUGGAGCUACAUUUGUUUUUAAUUCCAUACUUUAUUUGAUUAAUUUCUGCCCGAAAAAGGAAAUGACUGGAGUUGUGUACUGCAUUUGGAGCUGUGUAGUCAAAUGCAUUUGCUGAAGAACCCGAAAUCAUUGCGUGAGAUCUGUUGGUUCUCAUCGGAAUUUUGGGAGUCAAAUAUAGAGUAGUGGCUGAUUAUUUCUACUGCUAUCAAGGAGAUAUUCACUGGAACAGGUUUUUCUGCAAAGUACGGAUUGGAUGUGCGAAAAUAAGAAUCUAGCUCUCACUAGAGAAAGUGGAACAUUUGAUCUCAAUACCAGCCGAACCAACUUUGACAUAAUGUAUGCAGAGACAUAGGGUCUCAAGAUCCAUCUUCUUAUCAUCGGAUCAAGGAAGCCUGUGAGAAUAUUUCAUAGUCUGUUUUAUCGAGAGUAUCAGAUUUCAGUCUAAAGUCAAUGGGGGAAGCAAGUCAAGAAUCAAGACAAGAUUCCAGAUGGCAUUUAGAUAGGAAUUUUGUAACUCUUAGAUUUCAAGAGUAUGUAAUUUUCUUUUCAUUUUGAUGUAAUAGUAGGAACCGCGGAUCGGAACCUCGACAGAACCUCAAUGGACCUCCAUCUAAGAAUACUCCAUCACUCUUCUUCCACUUGAACUACACGUGACCUGAUUCCAUUAUAACCCGGAUAUGUAGGUUGCCUAAAA